UACGUAGGGUGCAAGCGUUGUCCGGAAUUAUUGGGCGUAAAGGGCGCGUAGGCGGUGCGGUAAGUCACCUGUGAAACCUCUGGGCUUAACUCAGAGCCUGCAGGCGAAACUGCCGUGCUUGAGUGUGGGAGAGGUGCGUGGAAUUCCCGGUGUAGCGGUGAAAUGCGUAGAUAUCGGGAAGAACACCCGUGGCGAAGGCGGCUCUCUGGGACGGUACUGACGCUGAGACGCGAAAGCGUGGGGAGCGAACAGG
Molecule: ribosomal RNA, 253 nt
Filed under: uncultured bacterium
Lineage: Bacteria
Description: partial 16S ribosomal RNA
Rfam family: Bacterial small subunit ribosomal RNA
Source: RNAcentral